AAGCGGCUGGGAACAGGAGAUAGCGUGUAACUCGAUUUAUUACCAGCUGACCAUGAAUUGUGAACAUUAAAAUGUCAUUCACUGUUAGAAAUGUACACCUAUCAGUGGUAGGCAGGUGAACGCUGCGCUAUGCCCAGUUUUACACUGAUGCUAAUAAUCUGUACUGGUAUAUUUUCUAUAUUUUAAAGACACAUUUCAUAAUAUUUAUUUUUCUGACUCUGUGCUGCUAAACUGUGUUACUAGUAUUGGUCAGAACAUGACAAAUAACAGUAAAAAGUCGCCACACCAGCAUUCAGGUUUUCAGGUUAAUAAGGAAUCGAGUCCAUUGAGGGAUGAUUUAGGAAAGACUUCACUGAAGAGGCCUGCAGUUACUACAGCCGGUGGUCUCAAUCUAAUAACAUUCAGUAUUUGUAAGGAGAGCAUGAGGCCAGUUAAGAAAGCCCUGAAACAGCUGGAGCUGCUGAAAGAUCUUCCCUUGGAGCAGCAGGUCCGCUCUACCAGAACACAGGUGCUCACGAUCGGGGAGCACGUCAGCACCUGCCUGGCAGAGUACACCACAGCACAGGAGGCCAGAUACUGGAAAAGGUCCAGUACCUACUACCUACUAUACUCCCUGAACACUAUGACACACAACAUGCUGUGCUGCUAGGCACCAGCCAUAGAGGAUGUUCACAAUAGUCCUUGUGUCAGAUUUCAGGUAAAUAGAAUUGAGUACCCUGUACAAGUAGACAAACCUUUCGGCCAGUGCCUUCUGCAGUGUAAACAACGACCUUCUUGGGCAAAUAAAUACGCGUCCUGACGUUACUGUUGCUCUUCAAAAUCUUAUUUUAUUUUAUUUUUGAAUUUUAGGUAUUUAUGGAAAUUUGCAUCCAUCUUUUCAGAACACAAUGCUAGAACUCUGCGCAGACUGUAUAAGUAUUCACAGGUUAAUCAAGAGGACAAAUUUAUGGUAAGCAUAUGUAAGGGCUUGUGGGUUUUUUCUUACUAUUUUAUACCAAUGUUUGCAGGAUUACUGGCAGUGUAUGAAUCAAUGCAAAAUUACAACUCAAGCAUCUGCACUUGAAUGAUCACAGAGGUGUGACCCAGCAUACAGGUAUGUGGCUUCUUUAUGAUGUAAACAUCACAGGAUACAAAGGCUACCAUAAGCAUCAUAAGGGAGGCUGUGUUCUUCUUCAGUGUUAGUACAGUAAUCUCAAGACCUUGGAACACCAGGCAAACUACAGGCAACUCGUUAGUGGACUAAUCACGUGGUGAACAAUUGCUUAACAAUAUGUGGUUAUUAAUGUCUUCUGCAUUCAUGCCAGCUUGGCUGGUUUGUAUUGUUGCUUUUCCUUUAGAAGACAUACUGGGGAACAGGGUUCCCAGGCCCUGCCCAGGUCCAGUCUCUUGAAUGUAAGCAGUUGUACAAUGCAUGGGGCCUGCCUGUGGACUCGAGCAGUUCAGACCUUGGCAGGGGCCAGUCAGCAGUAGAGGACCAGCACUUGACUGACAGGCACACUGACGGGAGCCUUCCAGGCAGGGUACAUCCGGAUACUGCUGCUGCUGAUUGGCUGGUGGUGUUUCAACUGCCCUCCGAUUUUCGUUCCCUGUUACGUCAUUUCCAUUAUACUUGAUGGCUUGGAUGGGUACGCAGCCCGGCGCCUCAAUCAGAUUUCGGAGUUUGGAGCCUGGCUGGAUGUCGUGAUUGAUAACCUGGGGCGAGGGAUGCUGUGGAGCGCCUUGUUUGAGUGGGGAUAUUUUGUUUCUGCGUUAGAAUGGUGUGUGUUCGUCUGCACACACAGCUGCAUGGGUGCUGAGUGGAAGAGCCGCUUCGGAUGCAGCCCCUGGUGGAUCCAGAGAGUCACAGCAAACGGUUUUAAGAGCCCGCUGGGUGUGCUUUGUAUAUCCGGGCUGCACGUCCUGCCUGUCUGGCUAUACGGGUAUCAGAAAGGAGUCCUGACAGAGGUUCUCUUUGUCCCAUUUACACUGCAGUGCUGUGGAAUAGCCAUCCUCACUGCAGGCAGGCUCCUGUGCUUUGCUGUGGAGGUGUGGUGUCUCGGGAUGCACAUUAAGUUUCUCACAAGAACUGACCAGAAGACAAAGGAAAAAGACUGAAGCUCCUCUGUGUCCCAGACACUCUUGUGUGUAUUUCAAAAGGAGUGCUGUUCCGUUUUAAAUAUAGAUUUCAGGAGAUCAGGCUACAAUGAAAGAGAUGGAACACAGCUAAGCAGACUUGUCUAGAAGCUGUUUCUAACAAAAGUUUGUUUUGUGAUAUUUUGCUUUUAGAGUAAUGAGAAAUGAAAUCUCCAAGUGCAGCAACAAGAGCUGAAAGUUCAAUAAAAUAUUUUGUGAAAUAUAAGAUGAAUAA
Molecule: RNA transcript, 2347 nt
Organism: Acipenser ruthenus (sterlet)
Lineage: Eukaryota; Metazoa; Chordata; Actinopteri; Acipenseriformes; Acipenseridae
Gene name: CDP-diacylglycerol--glycerol-3-phosphate 3-phosphatidyltransferase-like
Exons: 8
Source: RefSeq, a predicted model, not a curated record